AUGGCAUAUGCGAUUCUCCUCCAAGAAAAAAUGUUUCUCAGGAAGCAGGAUGAUGUAUUGAGUUUGCAUAAUAUUAAGGACAACCGUACAAACACAGGCUCUACUGUCAUCAAAACUCUUAAUCAAGGGCCUAAUAAAAACUCUCAACGAAGUCAAUGGAGUUUAGGAAGCAAUUCAUCUCAGCCUGAGCUAGGCAUUUACAAUAAGUUUGAUGAACCGGUCCCUUUGCUUCUGGAAGCAGACAGACAACAGCAGACAGAAGAUGGAAUGGGGCUGACUGUGAACAUGAGCAUAAAGUCUGGUGGAUCUGGAAAACCUGAACAGCAGAAGAGCAGCAGACGAACUGAGUGGCUUUGUAAGAUGAUCUCUGCCUUGGUCUAGAGCUGAAAGGGAAGAAGGAAGGAUACCCUCUCGGCAAAUCCACAUUCUCAGCUAUGUGGCAUCAUUUGAGACAGAAACAUGUCCAGGCAGUGCCAGAGGGGUGACCCUGACUGUUGACAUUUCUGCACCACUCAGGCCUACAAGCAGGUUGUGAUCCAAAUUCUCCCUCUGAAUUGCAUGCAAGCACUGAGAGCAGACACAGGUAAGGACUACAAGUGCUGUCUGUGCAAUGACAUGGGGACUUUUACACCCCACAGCUGGCGACAUCCCUGCUCCACCAAGUGCUGUAAAGGGCAACCAAACCUCUCUGGAUGAGACCACCCAGUUCUCUGUGGCCUGCUACAAGCCCACUCCCAUUUGUUCCAGCUGUGGCUGUGUAGUGUUUCUGACACAUUUUCUUCUGGGACAGUUUUUCAGUUGCUUUGUUACACAUUUUCUGUCCUCCUUUGAGAGUAUUCACUGUGUUAUGCAAUUAACAAGCAGAUACAGAAAGAGGUGCGUGGGGCAGUGCAUAGUAAAUGUCCUAUCAAUUCAGGGAAUAAAAAAAAGGUUGAAAAAUGUCUUUUGCUUUAU
RNAcentral lists this long non-coding RNA (954 nucleotides) under Anser brachyrhynchus (Pink-footed goose). RNAcentral describes it as "lncRNA (ENSABRG00000018702.1)". Lineage: Eukaryota; Metazoa; Chordata; Aves; Anseriformes; Anatidae. The record is from RNAcentral.